GACGAACGCUGGCGGCGUGCUUAACACAUGCAAGUCGAACGGAAAGGCCCUGCUUUUGUGGGGUGCUCGAGUGGCGAACGGGUGAGUAACACGUGAGUAACCUGCCCUUGACUUUGGGAUAACUUCAGGAAACUGGGGCUACUACCGGAUAGGAGCUCCUGCUGCAUGGUGGGGGUUGGAAAGUUUCGGCGGUUGGGGAUGGACUCGCGGCUUAUCAGCUUGUUGGUGGGGUAGUGGCUUACCAAGGCUUUGACGGGUAGCCGGCCUGAGAGGGUGACCGGCCACAUUGGGACUGAGAGACGGACCAGACGCCUACGGGAGGCAGCAGUGGGGAAUAUUGCACAAUGGGCGGAAGCCUGAUGCAGCAACGCCGCGGGCGGGAUGACGGCCUUCGGGUUGUAAACCGCUUUCGCCUGUGACGAAGCGUGAGUGACGGUAAUGGGUAAAGAAGCACCGGCUAACUACGUG
This 468-nucleotide ribosomal RNA is filed under the name uncultured bacterium. RNAcentral's name for it is "partial 16S ribosomal RNA". It matches the Rfam family "Bacterial small subunit ribosomal RNA", at positions 28 to 507 of the family's 1533-position model. The record is from RNAcentral.